GACUGAGACACGGCCCAGACUCCUACGGGAGGCAGCAGUGGGGAAUCUUGGACAAUGGGGGAAACCCUGAUCCAGCCAUGCCGCGUGAGCGAUGAAGGCCUUAGGGUUGUAAAGCUCUUUCACCGGUGAAGAUAAUGACGGUAGCCGGAGAAGAAGCCCCGGCUAACUCCGUGCCAGCAGCCGCGGUAAUACGGAGGGGGCUAGCGUUGUUCGGAAUUACUGGGCGUAAAGCGCGCGUAGGCGGGCUGUUAAGUCGGGGGUGAAAUCCCGGGGCUCAACCCCGGAACUGCCUUCGAUACUGGCAGCCUAGAGGACGGGAGAGGCCAGUGGAAUGGCGAGUGUACAGGUGAAAUUCGGAGAUAUUCGCCGGAACACCAGUGGCGAAGGCGACUGGCUGGCCCGUAUCUGACGCUGAGGUGCGAAAGCGUGGGGGAGCAAACAGGAUUAGAUACCCUGGUAGUCCACGCCGUAAACUAUGAGUGCUAGUCGUCAGAGGGCAUGCCCUGUGGUGACGCAGCUAACGCAUUAAGCACUCCGCUUGGGGAGUACGGCCGCAAGGGUUAAACUUCAAAGGAAUUGACGGGGGCCCGCACAAGCGGUGGAGCAUGUGGUUUUAAUUCGAAGCAACGCGCAGAACCUUACCACCUCUUGACAUGUCUGUCGCGGUCUCCCGAGAAGGGAGUCCUUCAGUUCGGCUGGACAGAACGCAGGUGCUGCAUGGCUGUCGUCAGCUCGUGUCGUGAGAUGUUGGGGUUAAGUCCCGCAACGAGCGCAACCCUCGCCGUUAGUUGCCAGCAUUCAGUUGGGCACUCUAAUGGAACCGCCGGUGAUAAGCCGGAGGAAGGUGGGGAUGACGUCAAGUCCUCAUGGCCCUUACGAGGUGGGCUACACACGUGCUACAAUGGCGGUGACAGUGGGUUAAUCCCAAAAAACCGUCUCAGUCCGGAUUGGGGUCUGCAACUCGACCCCAUGAAGUCGGAAUCGCUAGUAAUCGCGUAACAACAUGACGCGGUGAAUACGUUCCCGGGCAUUGUACACACCGCCCGUCACACCAUGGGAGUUGGUUUACCCGAAGACGGUG
RNAcentral lists this ribosomal RNA (1081 nucleotides) under uncultured organism. RNAcentral's name for it is "bacterial SSU rRNA". It matches the Rfam family "Bacterial small subunit ribosomal RNA", at positions 317 to 1432 of the family's 1533-position model. The record is from RNAcentral.